Molecule: long non-coding RNA, 8539 nt
Filed under: Setaria viridis
Lineage: Eukaryota; Viridiplantae; Streptophyta; Magnoliopsida; Poales; Poaceae
Description: long non-coding RNA (SVIR_LNC002324)
Source: RNAcentral
GUUCAUGCCGAUGGACCAAGGGCGGUGAAGGAUGAACGCAAGUAGGCUUGGACCGAUGGACCCGAGGAGUCCGGGCGAAGUCACGGGCGGUUCACAUGGUGCACGGAAUGGCGAGAGGGCAUGACACGAUGGAGACGGCGUCGGUCGAGUCAAGCGGGAGGCUUGGCGGAGGCCGGACACGCGUCAAUGGACGGUUUGGGCCUCAAAACCACCGCGCAGGCAGGUUUCCCGGUUUGGGCCUCAAAACCGGGGGCGAGCCCGGUGCGGCCGGAGCUUCGAGAAGGAGGGCACGUGGCGUCAUCGCCAAGCUUGCGUCGAGGCGAAGCAAAGUCGUGAAGGCGGCGUGUCCGUCCGAUGCACGGAUAAAAACUUGGACCAAAAUACCCCUGCGUGGGUAGUUAUCUUAGUUGUAGCUGUAGGGGUAGUAUAGUCUUUCGUCCUGGACUAUAAAUAGGGAUGGGGGGCUGGUUAUUUCAGUACCUCUUUGUUUAGCAACUCAUUAUCUAUUUGCUUAGAGGCUAGUCAUGUGCUUAGAGUGAGAGGAGAGAGGGGGAUUAGGGAGUGAUUACUCUUUUCUCUUGAUUUCUUCAUCUUUAGUGGGUGGAUGAAGGGAGGAGGCUAGUCCUCAUCUUGUAUAGAAGAUGUUCUCGUGAUUUAGCUUUAUUUGUUGUCUCAAAUCGUGCUAAAUCUUUGAUUUCCGAGCGUUUUUCUUUUUCCCUAUUUUCGGAACUAUUUUUGGGGAAUUUUCGUUCAUCAUGGUUGAGCCCGAAUCUCGUGAGAUUGGUUGAAGGGAAAUGUUGCUAGGACCUAGGAGAGCAUCCGUGAUAUGAUCCCCUUUCAAAUCCCUCACGAAUCCGGCUUGAUUUUGAGUUUUUCCCAAAUCGCGUUCUUGAGUUAGGGUUUCGGUUUUCUCCAAAAUCCGUGAUGGAUACUUGAGCUUUUUGUGAUCUUUUCAUGGAUCUAUUAGCCUUUAGGGUUGCGCAUCUGUGGCUCAAGUUUCGUCUCGAUUCAUGGAGAUUUGAAGGAGAAUUUCUCGUUUGAAGUUUCAGGUGUUCUUGUGUUUAUCUGGUUUGUUCUUUCUGUUCUUGCGUUCGUGCUUCUGUUCGUGCGCGCAGGCAACCAGGUGGAGCAGCAGCAGGCCAGCAGUCCAACGGUGGUGCUGCAAAGCUGCAGCUCGUGGCCCAUCGCUAGGCGGCCCACCAGCCACAGCCCAGCAGCGACACAAGCCCAGGCAGGCCAGCACCAGGCCGCGUGCGCUACGCAGGCCAGCACCUGGUGGUCCAGCUCGUGGCUUGCAGGCCCAGCUCGCAGCCCAGGGAGCUGCUUUACGCAAAGCAAGUCAAGCCCAGCUUCUCCUAACAAGCAGGUCACCAGGAGCUUUUCAUCUACACGAGACCAGUGAGCCAAUUCUUUUAUCAUUUGUUAAUUCCAUGCCUACUUAAGUAAGUGAUUAAUAGUGUUCCUGUUUUGUCUCAUCCGUGCAAAUUUGAUAGAAUCGAUUCAUGCUAUAUUUUCGCUGUAAUUUGUACGUCUCUUAUCGUUCCUAGGGUGAGCCAGUCACGAGUUGACUUGCGUCAUCUUGACGAUUGAACGCACCGUGUGCUUUGGGGUUGCGUUUGGGACAUAGGUCUUGUUUUCGUUGAGAAUUUUUAUAGGCUCCCAUUGACCCCCCCUCUGGUCGCCCUUUCGGUCCUUCAAUUGGUAUCAGAGCCGGUUAAGGUUUCUCCAUACCCUAAUUGGUUUCGAAACCUAUUAUGGCGACCUCUGAGCGUUCUUCCUUGACCGCUGCACCCUACUUUGAUGGCUCUGAUUAUCGGUAUUGGAAAACUCGCAUGAGAGCCCAUCUAAAUAGUAGGGGAGCAGGGGUUUGGGAAAUCACUCAGGAUGUGACUUAUGUGAUUCCUGCUACUCGUGUGACUCAGGAUGAAAGGGAUAAGUAUCACGCCAACAGCAAGGCGGUUGAUAUUCUGUUUGCGAGUCUGAGUCGUGCUGAGUUCGAUCGAGUCGAAGAUCUCUCUCUUGCUCAUGAGAUUUGGUCUCGACUUCAGAGUUUCCACGAGGGAAACAGUCAGGUGAAGGCUAGACUCUUUGAGACUUAUAGGCGUGAGUAUGAGAACUUUGUUCAUUUGCCUGGUGAGUCUGCCGAUGCUUUGUUUCAGCGUUUCUUGGCUAUUGUGAACAAGAUGAAAGCAAAUAUCACCGUCUUACCCUACACUGAUCAUGAUAGAGCUUUAAAGCUCCUGCAUGCCUUGGAUCACGAAGUGUGGGGUACGAAGGUUGAUGCUAUCAUCGAGUCACCGAAUUAUGAAACACUUUCCAUUGAUGAACUAUUUGCCAAGUUGAAAUCCACGGAGGUUGACAAGAGGCUCCGAGCAAAACAAGGAGGCCCUACUGAUCCAAAUAGUAUGGCUCUCAUGUCAGGCUCUGGACAGCCUAAGUCUUUGAGUAACUCUUCUUCUAUGUCGUUUGCCUUGUCUUCUUUGGUUUCUGUUUCAGAGGAGCACCUGGAGGUUCUUGAUGAUGAUGAGCUCACCUUGAUCACGAGGCGAUUCAUGCGCUUCAACGACAACCGCAAGAACAGGCGAAGGAACAACAACAACUGCUUCGAUUGUGGCAAGCCAGGCCACUUCGCCGCCGACUGCCCCGACAAAAACAAAACCAAGAGCAAGUACGACUACAACAAACACAAGAACAAGGACGGCACCAAGAAGAAGAAGAAGUACACCGAUCGCGAGAAGAAGGAGUAUCGCAAGAAGGCCAAAGCACGUGCCUUCAUCGCCUCCCUCAGCGACGUCGACUCCGACACCGACGACCACACCGACUCAAGCUCAAGCGAGGAGGAGGACGACCGCAAGGCAAAGAAGAAGGAUGGCAAGAACUUCAAUGGCCUCUGCUUCUACUCCGACAAGAACCGCGACGGGUACUGUGUCAUGGCUCUCAACUCCAAGAAGGAUGACAAGGAAAGUGACUCCGACACAGAAACUGAGGUCGGAGGCCUGGAGAACACGUGGCUUAUUGAUUCCGGUUGCUCUUGUCACAUGACCGGUGAUUUCAGAUGGUUCUCCAGCCUCACCCCGGUGAUGACCAAGGAGUACAUCACUUUCGGGGAUAAUAGCAAAGGUAAGGUGUUGUCUGAAGGUGUUAUCAAGGUGAGUGAGAAUUUCAUGCUCAAGCGAGUUGCUCUAGUUGAUUCUCUUAGUUUCAAUUUGCUCUCUGUGUCGCAGCUGCUUGAUGAUGGUUUUGAGGUCCGUUUUAAGCAAGGGACCUCAAGGAUUUUAGACUCUCGAGGUGAUCUUGUGUGUAUGAUCGUCCCCGAGGGUCAAGUGUUUCGAGUUGAUUUUUCCAAGUCAUUUGGUCUCUCUCGGUGUUUAGUGGCUGGCUCAUCUUCUGAACUUUGGAAAUGGCAUAGGAGAUUAGGUCAUUUGAGUUUUGAUUUGCUUUCCCGCUUGAGUACUUUGGAUCUUAUUCGUGGUUUGCCUAAAUUAAAGUUUGAGAAAGAUCUUGUUUGUGCUCCCUGUCGACAUGGGAAGAUGGUUGCUGCUUCCCAUCCACCUGUGAAUCAGGUGAUGACUGAACAUCCAGGCGAGCUGUUGCAUAUGGACACUGUUGGUCCAGCUCGUGUUUGUUCAGUCGGUGGGAAAUGGUAUGUGCUUGUGAUCGUUGAUGAUUUUUCGAGGUAUUCAUGGGUUUUCUUCAUGGAAUCUAAGGAUGAGGCAUUUCCUUUUGUUCGAGAUUUGAUAUUGAGGUUGAGAAAUGAGCGACCAAAAGAUGCCAUGAGAGCUAUCCGCAGUGACAAUGGCACAAAAUUCAAGAACGCUCGUUUUAAAGCCUUUUGCAAUGAUCUUGGUCUUGAACACCAGUUUUCAUCGCCUUAUGUCCCUCCUCAGAAUGGUGUUGUUGAACGGAAGAAUCGGACCCUUUGUGAAAUGGCUAGGACGAUGCUUGAUGAGCAUAGGACUCCUAGAAAAUAUUGGGCCGAAGCCGUCAACACUGCUUGCUAUGUGUCCAAUCGAAUCUUUUUGCGAGCUUUCCUGAAGAAAACUUCUUAUGAGCUGAUGCAUCGACGUUCCCCCAAAGUGAGUCAUCUGAGGGUGUUUGGCUGCAAGUGUUUCAUUCUCAAGCAAGGAAAUUUGGAUAAAUUUGAGUCUUGUUCUACGGAUGGGAUUUUUCUUGGUUAUGCUUCUCAUAGUUGUGCUUAUCGUGUGCUUAACCUUGAAACUAACCGGAUCGUGGAAACUUGUGAGAUUACAUUCGAUGAAACUAUGCCUUGCACAACUCCUGUCUUUGAAGUUGCAGGUGAACAUGAAAUGGGGCAAAGCAUAUUUGAGGAAGAGGAAGAGCGUGUAGAUGGUGGUGAGGAAGAGGAUGAUGAGAUUGACCGAGCUCCAGCUGUUGCACCUAUACCUUCUACUUCGACUACGAGAGUUGAUGGCCCUACCUCUACUUCCACUACUUCAAGCCAUCAACUAGUACCACUACAGGAUGAAGAAGAAGAAGAUCAGAGUGAUCCAGCUGCUGUUGAGGGGGAGGCGACUUCAGAGCGAGAGGCUCCACGGCACAUUCAGCGUCGUCAUCCUCCACAACAGAUGAUCGGUAACUUACAUGAACGCACCACUAGGCACAGCUCUAGGCAGAUUUCACACUUUGCACAUUCUACAUUUGUUGCCUCUUUCGAACCCCGAGAUAUUGGACAUGCUCUAUCUGAUUCAAAUUGGGUUAAUGCCAUGCAUGAGGAGUUGGAGAACUUUGAGCGAAACAGGGUUUGGGUUUUAGUUGAACCACCUCCAAAUUGCCAUCCUAUAAGAACAAAAUGGGUUUUCAAAAAUAAACAAGGUGAGGAUGGGUUGAUUGUGAGAAACAAAGCGAGGUUGGUUGCCCAAGGUUUUAGCCAAAAAGAGGGGAUAGAUUAUGAGGAAACCUUUGCUCCUGUUGCCCGUUUGGAAGCAAUUAGAAUCCUUCUAGCCUUCUCUGUGGCUAAAGGUUUUAAGCUCUUCCAAAUGGAUGUGAAAAGUGCCUUCCUAAAUGGUUUCAUAGAGGAGGAAGUGUAUGUGAAACAACCCCCUGGUUUUGAGAGUCCUAAAUAUCCUGAUCGUGUUUUCAAACUCCAGAAAGCUCUCUAUGGCCUAAAACAAGCACCCCGAGCGUGGUAUGCUAGAUUGAAAUCCUUUUUGCUUGGGAAUGGGUUUGAAAUGGGAUCAGUUGAUAAAACACUCUUUCUCCUCAGGCAAGGCAAUGACUUAUUGAUUCUUCAGAUAUACGUGGAUGAUAUUAUCUUUGGUGGUUCUUCUCAUGCUUUGGUUGCAAAGUUUGCAGAUGACAUGAGCAGGGAGUUCGAGAUGUCGAUGAUGGGUGAGUUGACCUUCUUCCUCGGGCUACAGAUCAAGCAAAGCAAGGAAGGAACCUUCGUGCACCAAGGGAAGUACACGAAGGACGUGUUGAGGAAGUUUGACAUGGCUGAUGCUAAGCCACUCUCCACACCCAUGGGUACGACGACGGCACUAGAUGCGGAUGAAGAUGGUGAACCGGUGGACCAGAAGGAGUACAGAAGCAUGAUCGGCUCCCUCUUAUACCUGACGGCGACGAGGCCGGACAUACACUUCUUUGUGUGUCUGUGCGCUCAUUUUCAGGCUUCACCAAGGACAUCUCACCGUCAGGCAGUGAAGAGGAUCAUGAGGUAUCUCCGCUUUACCCCUGAGUUCGGUUUGUGGUAUUCUGCCUCCUCGACACUCACGCUCCGGGGAUACUCCGAUGCGGACUUUGCUGGGUGUCGCUUGGAUCGCAAGUCUACCUCGGGUACUUGCCAGUUUCUCGGUUCGUCUUUGGUCUCUUGGUCUUCUCGCAAACAAUCUAGUGUUGCUCAGUCUACCACCGAAGCUGAGUAUGUUGCUGCUGCUAGCUGUUGUUCUCAGCUGCUUUGGAUGAUUUCCACUUUGAGAGAUUUUGGUUUGGAUUUUACUCGUGUACCUCUUCUUUGUGACAGCACGAGUGCCAUUAGUGUAGCCAAGAACCCCGUUCUCCACUCAAAAACUAAACACAUUGAUGUGAGAUAUCAUUUUCUGAGAGAUCAUGUUGAGAAAGGGGAUAUUGACCUUGGCUAUGUUGCUACCCAAAACCAACUCGCAGACAUUUUCACCAAACCCCUGGAUCAAGCCACUUUUGCUCGUUUGCGGGGGGAGUUGGGUGUUUGCUUUCCUUUCUGAGUUAGGUUUUUGGAGCUUCUCUUGUAUUAUACUUGUAUCAUUUUUGUACAAAACAUGGUAGGAUAGCCACUUUUUCAUGAUAGCUUUGAGUUCUUCAUGUAUAUCUUAUCAUGCUAUUUCUGUGAUAUAUUGUGGUGGAUGAUACAUAUGAACAUCAUGUCAUGCUUUACCUUAGUUUACAUUUGGGUAUGGCAUGUUGUUCAUCUGUAUCAUUUUAGCUUAGUUUCCAUGCAUUUUGUAUCAUAUUGCAUUUUGUAUCAUGUUGCACUAGAUGAGCUUCUCCUAUAUAUCUUGUGUACUCCCUUAUGCUACUUGUGAGGUAGUGCUGUGGUUGGUGAUUUUGAUGCAAUGUGCAGUUAUGCUCUUGAUGAUAUUGUAUACUUGUUGAGAUAACUGUUUUUGAAUUUCAAUGCUAAAUUCUACUCUAUUAACUUGCUUAUCACCCAUGAGUAGAUGCUUGGUUAUGGUUUGCCCUUGGUUGAAUACUGGUUCCAUAUCUAGCUUAUGUUUGGAAUUCAUGUUCUUUUCAAUUGGGUCAAAGAUCUAGGUAUCAUUGCAAAUGUUUAGCCCAUGAUGCACCCCUUGGGGAAGCAUGGCUUCUUUGUGCCGCAAAGGCACUUCAUGUAUUUUGCUUUGUGUGAAUACUAAAAAAAAAUAUGCUGAAAACUUCAUAAAUUCACCAAAUUUUUGUGCUUAAUGUGAUAUUAUUGCUUGCUUAGUUGUUACAAGAUGUUUACCAAAAGAAGUAGACACUUGGUUUCAACAAGCUUUAAACAUGACUUGUGAUGCAUAUGUGGGUGUUUGCAAUGAUCUCUUGUUGAGAAUAGAUUUUCCUUGUUUGAGCUCUUGAUGGACUAGUCUAUUCUUGCUUGGGUGAUUCUUAACUAGGUGAAUGCUCAUGUGGUGAUCUUUUUGUACAUUGCUAAAACUUGAUACUUGCUUCACCUCCACUGUUGUAACUUGAUAUCAUCUUGUUGGCGAUGCUAUUGUUUCUUAUGAUCUAUCAAGCUUUAUCUCCCUAGUAGCCUUUGAGAGUGCAUUGUGAUAUAUUUGAGAAGCUUGUUAGGUUCUGCAUUUCCAUGGCAUGCAUUUUGUGCUUUCAUCCUUUUCUUGAUGGUUGCAUUGUCAACAAGGGGGAGAGAAAUCUACACAAAUUCUUUCAUCUAUCAAGAGGGAGACUUUGCAUGUAUGCAUGUUUUCAGGGGGAGUGCAUCUGUUCAGGGGGAGUAUUUGUGAGUUGUUGAUGUGCUCUUGUUAUGCUCUUAUGCUCUUGUACCGGUCGCGUUGAGCUGUUUACCUCUUCUUGAGGAGCCGGUUUUUUAUUUGAGUUUGGAUUUUCAUGUGAUUGGUGUUGAGCCCGUUUUCUGCCUCUUCUUGAGGGAUCACAUGAUUUUGUCUCAGUUGUGUAGAGCCGUUGCCCUUAUCUUAGGGGACUGAGAUUUUUUUUAUUUUGAGUUUCUUAUUUUUCUGUUUCAAUACUAUGAAUUUGUGGGGUGUUGUCAAUGCACUCAUCAAGGGGGAGAUUGAGGACCAAUGGAGGUCACCCUUGGAUGAUGAGUGAUUGACAACGUUGUGUUGGUUUGAUGUUGCUCUUGGCUUGUGAUGUGCAGGUGUAGGAUGUGACGUGGCGGUCGACGGAGUGUGGUGAAGGUCAAGCGAAAGGUUCAUGCCGAUGGACCAAGGGCGGUGAAGGAUGAACGCAAGUAGGCUUGGACCGAUGGACCCGAGGAGUCCGGGCGAAGUCACGGGCGGUUCACAUGGUGCACAGAAUGGCGAGAGGGCAUGACACGAUGGAGACGGCGUCGGUCGAGUCAAGCGGGAGGCUUGGCGGAGGCUGGACACGCGUCAAUGGACGGUUUGGGCCUCAAAACCACCGCGCAGGCAGGUUUCCCGGUUUGGGCCUCAAAACCGGGGGCGAGCCCGGUGCGGCCGGAGCUUCGAGAAGGAGGGCACGUGGCGUCAUCGCGAACCUUGCGUCGAGGCGAAGCAAAGUCGUGAAGGCGGCGUGUCCGUCCGAUGCACGGAUAAAAACUUGGACCAAAAUACCCCUGCGUGGGUAGUUAUCUUAGUUGUAGCUGUAGGGGUAGUAUAGUCUUUCGUCCUGGACUAUAAAUAGGGAUGGGGGCUGGUUAUUUCAGUACCUCUUUGUUUAGCAACUCAUUAUCUAUUUGCUUAGAGGCUAGUCAUGUGCUUAGAGUGAGAGGAGAGAGGGGGAUUAGGGAGUGAUUACUCUUUUCUCUUGAUUUCUUCAUCUUUAGUGGGUGGAUGAAGGGAGGAGGCUAGUCCUCAUCUUGUAUAGAAGAUGUUCUCGUGAUUUAGCUUUAUUUGUUGUCUCAAAU